AAGCCGACCCGAAAGCCGGCCUGGACGCACCCCCCUCGCUGCUCCUCCGGUGCUGGGGGAUCUGAAGAGGGGCAGGCGGCCGGGCAGCGCCUCCGGGUCUCUGCGAGCUGGGAAGAGCCAGGGACCGAAUGGCCUUCGGCCGCUGCCCUCGGAGGCCGCUUCUUGCCCCUCGUCCCCUGGGGCGAGCCACUGGGGCGUAGUGGGCGUGGCAGUGGGCAGCCACGUUCAGGGUCGAGGUCUGAGCCGGAAAUGGUGACUCGGGCCUCGGGACCUUUCUGAACUGCGGGAGCCGAUGUGCUUAGGCUGGACACUGGCUGGGAGGAGGCCUCCGAGCCCCAUUAUUUCCCCGGGGUGGGUGACUGUUAGGGGCGGGUGUCAGCACAGCGAGAAGAGCUCUCCCAAGCAGGGGUCCACCUCUGCCGACCUUGUCCGCGGCCAAAAGAAACAGCAGCACAGUUGCCCACCACGAAACCAAGUGCCCGGCACACGAUCUCCGUGUUUACAUUUGUUCGCCAGCACGUGGGCAUGCGUUGGCAAAACCGAUUGGCCCGGCUCGCGGCAAACUCAAACGCAAUUUUAAAAAAUUUCCCUAGUGCUUCGUUAAACUGAUUUAAUCUGUCCCUUAAUGCACUUACACGUUUCUUCCAGUUUUCU
Molecule: long non-coding RNA, 654 nt
Filed under: Homo sapiens (human)
Lineage: Eukaryota; Metazoa; Chordata; Mammalia; Primates; Hominidae
Description: non-protein coding lnc-SBF2-7:2
Source: RNAcentral